UUACCACGGCAGGGUUCGUGACUGGGGUGAAGUCGUAACAAGGUAGCCGUAUCGGAAGGUGCGGCUGGAUCACCUCCUUUCUAGA
Molecule: ribosomal RNA, 85 nt
Filed under: Cognatundibacterium curvum
Lineage: Bacteria; Pseudomonadati; Pseudomonadota; Betaproteobacteria; Burkholderiales; Oxalobacteraceae
Description: partial 16S ribosomal RNA
Rfam family: Bacterial small subunit ribosomal RNA
Source: RNAcentral